UUUCAAGGAAACAUGUGAAAUACGUUCAAUCGGUCUCAGAUCUGAGAAGAUCAAAGGUAAAAAUUAGCAUUUUUAGAAGUAUAAUAGAGAUGAGCUCAUAUACUUUGGAAACAAUAUAUUUUAGACGAAAAUGAGAAAGAUCUUACUCAAGGUCAAGCCAAAUGGAUUAAAAACCCAAAGGUGUAAAGAAGACUUGCCCUCAUCCCUUGAGAAUCUCCUCAAGAAUUUAGGAGAUGGAGAUAUCAUAAUAUAGGUGGCCAUUGUAUGCUUGAGGUGGUGAAGAACCACCAUAGAAUGGCUAUAGGCUAG
RNAcentral lists this long non-coding RNA (309 nucleotides) under Nicotiana benthamiana. RNAcentral's name for it is "long non-coding RNA (NBEN_LNC014229)". The record is from RNAcentral. Lineage: Eukaryota; Viridiplantae; Streptophyta; Magnoliopsida; Solanales; Solanaceae.